AGGAUAAUAGUUAAAUUAACAUUUGAUUUGCAUUCAAAAAAAUAUUGAUAAAUUCAAUUUAUCUUA
RNAcentral lists this transfer RNA (66 nucleotides) under Mucroberotha vesicaria. RNAcentral describes it as "tRNA-Ala". It matches the Rfam family "tRNA". Rfam says of the family: Transfer RNA (tRNA) molecules are approximately 80 nucleotides in length. Their secondary structure includes four short double-helical elements and three loops (D, anti-codon, and T loops). The record is from RNAcentral. Lineage: Eukaryota; Metazoa; Arthropoda; Insecta; Neuroptera; Berothidae.